Alexandromys fortis (reed vole) is the source of this 13808-nucleotide long non-coding RNA. RefSeq lists it as uncharacterized. The record is from RefSeq and is a predicted model, not a curated record. Lineage: Eukaryota; Metazoa; Chordata; Mammalia; Rodentia; Cricetidae. The transcript is spliced from 3 exons.
GGGGUUCUUAUAAGGACGUACUACAGUGUUACUGGGGUUCUUAUAAGGACGUACUACAGUGUUACUGGGGUUCUUAUAAGGACGUACUACAGUGUUACUGGGGUUCUCAUAAGGACGUACUACAGUGUUACUGGGGUUCUCAUAAGGACGUACUACAGUGUUACUGGGGUUCCAGUAGUUUAGUGACUGGAUGAGCACAAGGCCUUGGGUCAGGUCCUCGGCAGCCUCCCACCUAAGGACAAGAAUCUCACACAGUGACAAGAACAACUAACAAUCUGGCAGCCAGGCUGGUUGGCGCAGCUGUGAAACCUCAGGUACUUGAGAUGCUAAGGCAGGAAGAUUUGAAGUUCAAGGCCAGCCUAGACAACUUAAUGAGACCCUGCCUCAAAAUAAAAAUUAAAAAAAAAAAAAAAGGCUAAGGAAAGGGCUAGAGACAGCUCAGCAGGAAAGCAGCUGCCUCGCAAGUGGAAGCCUGGGAUCAGACCUUCGGCACCCACGCCAAAGCCACCACAACCUCAGACUGCACGGCGAAAACAGCUGGAUCCCCCCAGCGGCUCGCUGGCCGGCCAGCCCAGCUGAAAAAGCAAGCACGGGUUCAGUGAGAGACCCUGUCUCAAAAACUAAGAGUGCCAAAGAGGAAGAUACCCGCUACCCACCUCCGACCUCCACACAUGCACACACUCCCAGGGGAGGGCACAGGCCCCAUGCACACACACGCUAAGACUGGAGAUAGAGGUCAGAUGGCAAAAUACUUGAUUUUCAAGAAUCAGGACCUUGGGAACUCACGUUAAAAAUGGAAGUGGAGGUUGCUGGGGGAGGGAGGAGCGUGCCUAGGGUGGAGGGAGCGUGCUGGAGAGCUGGCUCAGCAGUUAAGAGUACUUGCUCUUCUAGGUUCAGUUCCUACCACACAUCUGGAGGUUCACAACCACCUGCGACACUAGUCCCAGGGGAUCUGAUGCCUCUUCUGGCCUUCUGGCACACGUUAUACAGAUAUUCGUGCAGACAAACACCAAUACACAUAAAAUUUAAUAAUGAUUUUUUUAAGGCAGUAGCUCACACUUGUAAUCUUAGCACUACAAGAAAUAGACAACUGGAUUCCUGAUGCUCACAGGCCGGGCUAGUGUACUUGUCAAGUUCCAGGCCAAUCAAAGACACGAGAGCAACAAAAGAAGAAAAGGAGGAGGAGGAGGAAGAAGAGGAAGAAAGAGGAGGAGAAGAAAAAGGCAUGGUAAAUGGUAUCUCUGGUCUCUGACACAUACAUGUGCUUACACACACAUACAGGUGCACCUGUGCACACACAACGAACUGAGGAUGUAGGGCAGAGGCAGUGUUUGCCUAGCCUGCACGAGGGCCUGGGUUCAACCCCCAGUACUUGGGAAAAAAUACAAGUUCUGUUACAAUAUUCAUGAGUAUACUAUUGCAUUUGUAAUUAGAAAAUUAUAUUUGAGAACAGCCUAAGCAAGCCCAUUCCAGUUCAGAAUGACACACCACCCUGACGACUACCAGCCACCAAGGGCCGUGUUGGCCAUCCCCUUCCUCCCUGCACCCAGGUUCAGGGGCAGCCUCACAGACAGUUCUGCAGCCCUCAGAGCCAAGAACAGGCCUAGCAGAAAGCAGCUGCCAGGAUGUUCAUGCAUUAAUAACUCUAGUGAUACGAGCAACUCCGCCAAUGCAGAUGUGAACAGACAAAACGGAACCCUGUGUGUGGUCUCUACUAUGUUCACAGAUUACCUACGCCUUUGAAAAAGAGCUGGAAGGAGUGCUAGGGAUGUCCCCUCAGGAAACCAGGGAUUGGGGUGGACGGUGUUUCUUUUUCAAAACAACAACAAAAAAAAUUUCUUGAAAUAGUCUCAUGUAGACCAGGCUGGCCUUGGACUUGCUCCAUAGCCAAAGAUCAUCUCAAAUUUCUUAACCUAUCUGUGCCUCCCAAGGGCAGAGACCACAGCCGUGUGCCGCUGCAUCCAGUCCAUGCAGCGCUGAGAGAAGAAUGCAGAGCGCCAUGCUUGCACAGGCCAGGCAAGCACUCCACCAAGUGCCGAAAAGCUACACACCGGGCCGGCCCCCACAAGGUUCUUGCCAUUUACCCAGACUGGCCUCAAACUCGAGUAUAAAUGAUCCUCCUGCCUCAGCAUCCCUAAUAAUUGCAACUUUGGAGAUAUGCCUCUUCUCUAGGUUAUAAUUUUUGGAUUCUUCUUACUAUUGCAAUAAUAUUUAUGAAAUAUAAAAACACCAUUUCAUUUUGCAUAUUUGUAAUCCUAGUUCAUAGGAAGCUAAAGCAGUAGAAUAAAUUAGUUUGAUGACAGCUUGCCUACAGUGAGACCUAACAAAAAAAAAUAAACACUUUAGUGUCCUAACUAGAAGUUCUGUCCAGGCCAAGGUGGUAGUUGGUGGGGCACAUCUCCCAGGGGGCACAUGCCUCUUUUGUUUUGUUUUUUGAGACAGGAUUUCUCUGUGUAGCCCUGGCUGUCCUGGAACUAGCUCUGUAGACCAGGCUGGCCUCAAACUCAAGAGAUCCAUCUGCCUCCGUCUCCCAAGUGCUGGAAUUAAAGGUGUGCACCAUCACAGGCUGGCAAUAGAAUUGUUGUUUAAAGAAACUUUAUUUGUUGCCCUAUUAUAUACCAACUGCUUCUUCAGCCUGGAUUUAAAUUCCCCCAGGAGCCUGGCCCCAACUGCCCUUUCUAGCCUUAUGAAUCAUGAUUCUCCUGGGGGAGGAGGGGAGAAAAGAAAGAAGAAGUUCCAUCAGAACCUCUAAGACCUUGUCCCCUGGACCUGGAAGCCGAGGCUCACGGGCUGAGGCCCGUGGGCUGAUACCUAGGUUAUCUGGAAAGCUUCCAUGCCACUGUCCGCCAUAGAGACUGACUCUGUGUUAGGAAUAGGAACCAGAAGGGCUUCCCACUCUCGGGUCAGCGCAGGAACAGGUAAUGAUGAUCCUGAAGGGUCACGGCAGAGACAGAAGAAAGAGGAACUACAGGCAAAGGAAAACACGGCAAAGCUAAACCCUAAAAGAAAGCCAGGCAGGCAGAUGGUACUCAGGUGAAAGGGGAAGAAACUCUUGGCAGAGGUGGGUGCAAACUUGGAACCAGAAACGGCUGGCCUAGGGGAGGAGAAGGCACACGCGGCUGCCCGAGGUAACCUGAGUCCCUCUGAGUGAACGAGGCUAAGGUAGGAAAUGGAGCUGUCCCGUGGGUACUCAGCCUGUUCAUUCAUCCAUCCAUUCAGAAACUGUUAAUGGAGUGCCCGCUGUGCCGGGUUCUCUGCCCGCUCUAUGGAAAGUCAGUGUCCCUUAGUGAAUGGUGGCUUGGAGUCCACCCCUGAACCUGGUCUGCAGGAACCAAGGAAUGCGAGAAAGGCCAGCACUUAGCCAGAUGAGGACUGUCCAUGCCUGAGGCUAGGGCUUAUGGGGUAUGGGUGGAAUGGGGAGAGAAUCUUGGGGCAGGCUUUGCUUGGAGAAUAACACACAUGCUGACAGAGAUACAAAGUCUCUGAUCCCCUCUUCCAGCUCAGUAUUCACACCUGGAAAAUGGCCAUUGGUCCCCAUAUCCUUCUCCUCUAAAGUAAAGGGGUCUGGCAGCAACUACCUGCAACUCAACUUUCACUACCCCCAAGACAGGUGGCGGAGGGGCGUCCUGCCGUUCUGGUAACAGAGCUGCCUGCAGGGCCCACCCAGGCCCUUCCUUGCUGCUCUCCAUCCAGGGCUGGGUGACUCAUCCCUGUUCUGCCUGGUGCCCUCCCUCCCCACGGGUCUCCAGCAGCUUCCCUGGACAUCCCCGCCUCAGCUUCAGCAACAGGCCCAGCUCCGAGCAGUGAUGAAGGCUGCAGAGAACCUCCUGUUCUGCCCCUCUGGCUUUCCAAAGCAGGGUGAGACCAGGGGGAAACAAAUGAAGGAGGAGGAGCCCAGUAAAGUGAGACAGGACAGGACCAGGGCUACUGUUAGACACGGAGACAAACACUCCCCUGGCUAUCAGGGACCACCAUGGACGAUGUCCCUAACUAAAGACCUAGCAAGCACCAGGUGCUCCCUCAGUAGCCUUCUGGGCAUCAAGCCCCAGCCAGGCCCCAGGCCACUGGGCUCCCCAUGUCCAGUGCUAGCUGAUUAGCUGCUGUCCAAAGUACCUGUUUCCCUUCAGUGUCUGGAACCCGAGUUUGGCUUCAGACUAAUUGCUUCCUCUCCUUUUCCUAGCUCUGCUGUACCACAGCCUUCCUGGCAAGGCCCCACCAUCUCCGCUUGGCCUCUGUAGCCGUAUCCUCUUUCACGUCUCCAGGUUUCCAAGUCAACUGGUCCCCUGAAGCCAGGGAGUUUUCUAAACCCUGGAACUGACAACGGCACUGCCAAGCUUGAGAGCCUCAGGGUCAAAUCCAACUGUCCUGCCUCCCUGCUUCUCAACCUCAGUAUGCCCCAUCUGGGAAUCCAGAGCUGGCUGGGCCUAGGCAUGCUCCCUGCUGAAGCACUGCUUCAUCCCCUUGCCUCUUCCCCAGUCACUGGUCUCAGCCCAAGGCUCUGCCCCAGCACUCUUUGAAGGCUUUCCUGUCUCCUCCACCAGGCCUGGAGUCUCUGGAGAGGAGGGCACAGGUCUCAUCUCCCUCUAUAACCCCAACACAAUAGUUUGGCAGAGCAGGCAGAUAGCAAAAGGAGUUUGCUAGAUGAAUAAACAACUGAGACCAGGAAAGAAAAAAAAUAGAAAGGAAAAGAGGCAAGUAGAGUUAUCAGUGACCCAGGCAGCUACGAGGCGGGGAGAAAAGAACAGAGACAGGGCUAAAAAAAGGGAGGCCCCGAGACCCAGAGCGAGGCCAGAGGCAGACAAAGAAAAAGCAGGAAGGGAAAGCCAUGGCAGAGCCAGAGCUGCACCAGGGGGCAAGAGCUGCCAGGAGACAGCUGAGCAGACAUAAUUGGAUCAGAGACAACUCUGUUCCUGCAGUGAGGGGGUGUGACUCACACAAAGAGUAAUGCCAGACACAGAAAUACACACAGUCUCACACUUGGCACACACAUGCAUUCAGUGUGGAGUGACCCAAACUUCUCAGGUGCCUGCUUGGGACUGGGGAACCUUGUACCUGCUUGUGGGGAGCUCAUUCGUCUGAAGGCUGUGUCACACACAGCCACCCACAAUCCAGUUCCACACACAGAAGCCCAGACGUAGAAUCCUCCACCCCCGCCACCUUACCCUGUGCUCAGAACAGAGCCGCCCUCUGGUAUCGUCUUCAGCUGUUUGCUUCUGUUUUGCUUGGCUCCCUGUCAGGGUAUGAUCCUCAUAACAACAGGGUAUAAAAAGUGUGAUUUGAUGCCAAAUUCCCACAUAACAUAAUACUUGGCAUAGAGCAUACACUCCUUAAAUGUGUGGACUUUUGGGAUGCCUGCCCCGGGACAGAAAGAUUCUAGAGAUGCGGCAUGUGCUUGUCGUCUGGGAGCCCAGGCUGAAAGGCAGAAGGCUAAAAAGUAUGUGAUGUCCAGAGAUGGGCAGUGAGGCCACCAAGACUGAGGACCGGAGUUCAGCCUCUGGGACCUGCAUGAUGGCAGCAGAGAACCAACGUCAGCAAGUUGUCCUCUGCAUCCCUUGCCUUGACAUACGCGUGUGUAUGCAUAUGUGCACAAUACACAUAUAAAAUGUAAAAGAUAAAUAAAUAGAACAACGCCCCAGAGAACAGCGCCAGCUGCCCGGAGUCACUGGCAGGUGACAAGAGUGUAUUUGGAAGGAGCUUUUCAUUCCCGUGUUUUUUAAUCUCUACAGGGGCCUGCAGCAUCCACCUCACACGGAACACUGGGAGAGGGCAUGAGGAAGAGAGGACUGGGGGUACCGACAACCCGACACCUAGGCUGAGCUGUCCCUGCACCUGCAGUCCAAGGUGAUCGGGUUCUAUUCCCAUCUGUGCUGGUUGGCAACCUGGCACCCAGGCCUGUGGGAAUACUCUAGAGGGGCCCAGCCUAGGUCCCAGACCUCCACAGAGAACCUCUAGGGCCAGGGUUCCCAGGGCUCUGGCUCCAGGUGGUCCAGCCCAGUGUGGAGGCACACAAGGGAGGAGAGGACCCAGCUGUCUCCAGGGCUCGCUCCUUUCUCUCGUCUCCUGAAACUUUAAACACUCUCGCCUGGAAACUGAGCUGAGGCUCGUUAAAGUUUAAAAGCUGGAGCCUGGGGAACUGGGUGUGGAGGGCACUAAGUCAGCCUAGGAGCUGAGGGCUCCCCUACCCCCAACAGGGACAUAGCCAGAGGCAGACCACCCACUGUCAGGACCACUGGGCAAAUCACAGUGCACUUUGUCAUCCCUUGAUCUUUCCGGAUGACCCCAUGCUGCACCACCCACAGCCCCUGCUGCAGUUCAGACCCAGCACCAUUGCCCAGACAGAUGCAGCCGCAGCAGCCUCUCCUCACAGCAAAACUCUGGUACCAUGAGGCACCUACUCCAGAUGGCCAGAGGCCUGGCCUGCCUCUCUAACCCCUUGCUAGUCCCCGUUCUCAACCAGGGCACCUUUCCCAGUGUCCUGUCUUGUCUCCCUGUCUCUGUGUCUGCAGAAUGCUGCCGAUGUCGUCAAACUCCUGUUCCCUCUCAAGUCCAAGCCACCACCUAGGCAUUGUGCUCCAGGAAACCCUCUCAGUGGCCGCUCUCCAGCACGGGCCCAGGUAGAGCGGCUAUCCAGUGGUGUUGACUGCAUGAGCAUCAGGCAAGCUUACACUUCCUGUCCACGUGGAACAGACGAGGAAUGGAAGCAGUCUGCCCGGGGCCACUCAGUCGAGACUUUGAAUCCUGUGUUUUCUCUGGUGCAGCUUCAACUCAAGCAGGCACUGGAGCAGGACGGCAUCUUCAAUACCUCCAGCCACCACCUUCCCCGUAGCACAACUAUUAACUGCGUGGGUACCUCUCUGGGCUCUGGUCCCCAGGACAGCUCUGGAAGCCCUUUCGUCCAAGUGUCCUAUGUCAGGCCCGGCCAGAGCCAAGGCGGGACUCCUCAGUGCCAUCCCUGGAUUUAGAGUGCGCACCUCUGGGCACCAAGGCCUUAGUUGGCCAUCCUUCCCCCAGGCCCUGCAGUGAAGUCUCAGCACCUCUACAAACCACUUGUCCAGCAAUGUCCUGCGGAGAUGGACGAGGCAAAGGCCAAGCUAGGGCCUAAACUCCCCCAGCUCCAGAUCCUAAAACCAUAUCAGCUCCCAGCCCUGCACCACAGGUAAGAAAACAGACCCAGAAAGGUAAAGUGACCCUCUGAUCACACAGUAAGGACUGGACUUUUACCCAGUUGGGUCCCCUCCAAGGUGUCCUCUCACAAUGACACAACACAGAGAGACCCAAGGACAGAGGUUAGGUCUCCAUGGGGUUCUGGAGACAGAAUGGCCCAACAGGACUCAGAGCCAGGCCAAGGGACAGAGAGAAGGCAACUUCGUGUGUGUGUUGGGGGAAGGACGAAGGGCCUUCAGCCACUUGGACAAGUGAACUCCAACUCCAAGGCUCCAUUUGUCCAUAUCUGCUCCAUUGGAUCGAUGUGUCCUACCCCACAAGAUGAUAGCAGGCUCAGCAAGAAAAAAUUAGGGCUGGAGAGAUGGCUCAGCAGUUAAGAGCACUGGCUGUCUUCCAGAGGACCUGGGUUCAGUUCCCAGCACCCACAUGGUAGCUUCCAAUUGCCUGUAACUCUACCUCCAGGGGGAUCCGACACCCUCACACAAUAUCAAUGCACAUAAAAUAAAAAUAAUAAAUCAUUUUCUAAAAAGACAAAAAAAAAUAGGCAGUAGCCCAGGACUUAGGCACCCAACCCCUUGUCUUUCCCAGCACAGCUUCGAGUCUCAGACUCUGUUGUUGUGGUUGUUGUUGUUAUUGCUUGUUUUUUGUUUCUAGUUUAGUUUCUUGAGAAAGGGUCUCUCUGUGUAACCACCAUGGCUGUUCCAGAACUCACUCUGUACAUCAGGCUGGCCUCGAACUCAUGGAGAUCCACCUGCCUCCGCCUCCUGAGAGCAGGGAUUAAAGGCCUGCACCACUGCCCAAUGAGCCUCAGACUAUUGAGGGUGAGAAAGGUCCUCAGAGACCCCGAGUGAGCCCACAUGUCACGGGAGACAGGAAAAGGCUCAUGAGAUGGGGACCUCUGGACACUGGCUGAGAGACUGUCCUCCAGGUGCAGUCAGGGCCAGAAGGGGACACCUAGACUUCCUCCAAAGGAGAGAGAGGACUCCUGACCUGGAAGUCAUACACUCUUCAGAGCUCUCUCCCCCCUGCUCCAACUCCGAGUCCCCAGAGCUUCUGACAUCAGUCUGCUCUGUUCCUCUUAGGCUCACCCCUGCCUCUGUGCGUGCUCACACACCUGUGCCCCGGGCCCACUCAGAACCGUCAUCCCACACUCCAUGAAGGACCCAGGAGUCGUCCUCUGCCUGGCAUGGACAGGAAUGCAGCAGGCAUCAGAAGACCCGGGCACAGGUCAUCCAGAGCACAAGGGCCAGAGCUGCCCUGCAUCUCUCCUGAGAUCCCUAUGUCAGGAAGGUGCAAUAGCAGAUGAGCGGACAGCCCAGAGUGGAAGGGACAUGCCUCACUCAAAUACAGCAAAAGGAUACCAGAAGUUAGUUUAUUCAGAUAGUUCCCUGAAUGACUGAGAAAUGUUUUCUGCUCCUCACAGCUUUGGGAAACCUGUGUUCGGGUUCUAAUCAGUCUUCUGCUCUCUGGGGUCCAUGUUCAACAUCUGCUUCUGGUACUGGACCUAGACCUGCAGGCAGCAUUGUCUGCCUCCUGUCCACUACCCAGAGCCCAGGCCUGAAACCAGGCCAGGAGGGAGGGAGAGAGUAGGGGCGGCCUCCAGCAACCCCUGUCCUCUGUCCUGGCUCUGAUUGCUGGACCCAGGGCUAUGGUGGCUUCCAGGGACCUCUGGACACAGAGACAGGGAGAAGAGCAGGAUAAAAUCAAUCAAGUAAAUAGGCAGGUGCCACCCCUACACACACACACACACACACAAUCACAGGGCACAGGGCAUGCCCUGGUGCAGGAGACAGCAGAGGACAGUGGGCAGAAUCUCAGCCAAAAACCGAGGUUGAGUCCCAGCUUCCUGAAAUGACCCAGUGAUCCCUGGGGCUCUGGCUUCUACCUGACCUUGGCAAGAGUCACCCACCCCUCUGGGCCUUAGCUUUGCCAUCCAUCAAUCAAGAAUGGGAUGAUGAGAACAUAAAGUCCUUCAGUUCUUUAAAGAGUUAUUGAUGGGGUUAAAGGCCACUGUUGCCUAAGGAUGCAAGCUCAUCUGACAGGGCCAGCAACUCUGGAGCAGGCUGGCCUGGGCUGCUCUCCUGCCUCAGUUGUGUGAUGCCCUUGCUUGUAAGAGACAGACUGAUGACUACCUAGGACUGGCGUGAGACUAAAGCAGAUAACCAAGGGAAAAUGUUUGUCCAGGAGCAGGGCACUUAUCAAGAACUGUGUGGCAACUGCAAGUCCUGGAAUCUAGGAACAGGAAGCUCAGAGACCUCUGCUCAUCACUCAGCUCCAACUGCCACGCAGAGGGGACUAGGGAUGGAGGCUGGCCACUGUUAACACCCAUAUCUGAGGUGUCACGGCUCCCCUGGGCCUAGGUUCUGCUCACCUCCUCUACUGUGGGAAACACUGAGGUGAAGGCAGUAUGAGAGAAGAGUUAAGAGACAAGAUUAGACUCAGAGGCUAACCAUCAAGGCUUCAUGCUCUCUCUUGGGACAUAGCCAUGUGACCAUGUGCUGGCCCCUGGGGUUCUCUGGUCCUCAGAUCCUCACCUGCACCCCACUGAAGGAGGACAGGAUUACCAGGUAGGUUGUACAAAAGUCUCUGUUCAGCAGGUGAAGUACUGGAAUGUGUGUGUGGGAAAAAAGUAUGUUCUGCCCAGAAGCCCAUGACACCACAGCUCUUCAAAUACUCUCAAGUCCGACCUAGCCACAAAGAGUCUGUCUAAGGCAGCCUGGUCCCUACGCCUGCCAACUCCUGUCCUGGGCAAAGCUGCGCUUAUCCAUUAACCAAGUAAGAUGGGGGAGGCAGCUCCGCCCUGUUGACAAAGGGUAGGAGUACCCACCCCCCCAUACACACACACACACACACACACACACACACACACACACUCGCCCUAGAGAGCCAGCCCUGUAGGGAAGCCACACUCCCAGCCCCUGCAUCCUCCUGGUUGCCACCCUCUCAGCCACAGGCCACCACCUUUCACUUUGUUCCUGUCUUUCCCCAACAUCGCGUCCCUGCGGAUGCUGUGGGAGAGAAGCCUGCAUGCGGGCAGCAACACGCUGGCACUGCCAGCUGCCCUUUCCUUCCUCGUCCCUCAGGCUCAGACCUAGGCUAGGCCUUGGAGGAGCUCCAGCCCAGGGCCUUUAAGCUUGGACAGGACUCAGAGGAAGGAGGUAUACACAGAAACCCAGAGACAGUCAGUUGUCCAAGGCGUACAGAGACAGUCACAGAGGGCAAAGGGACAGCAGGAAGAGCAAGCCAAUCGUGUGGGGACAGGUGGAUAAAGCUGUAAAUGAUUAAGGCAGAAAAGCAUAGUACCAGAAGGGAAGGCCAGCACCUCAGGUUCUGGUGUGAGGUCAGGAGGGACCCUGUUCAAUCCAAUGCCCUGGCCUCUAAGAACAGGAAUGCAUCCUCACCUGACCCAGAGCAGCAGAAGGGUGUGAAGGCAGAGCCUUUUCAGGAACCCUCUAAAGGGAAGUUCACACCCUGAAAUGCGGCACUCACAGCAAAACCACAUGUGUGAGGGACAGCUACUGAGGCCCCUAGACCAGGAUCUCUGCCUCAUCAAACCCCAAGCCUGCCCUGUCAUGACAGAGAAGAGAAUCAUGGGACUGGGAGGAGGGGAGAUGGCUCUGAGGGGCUGGAAUUUAGGUGUCCCUGGCUCGGAGGCUCUUGACAGCCUCUUGAACAUGGCAAAGUAGCCACAAAUCCUGUUGCAUCACACCCCUACACAGAAGAGACAAGAGAGAGCCAAGGAGAUACGGAACAAGCCUGGCAGAAGAGCCUGGACAUGCCUUCCCUGCUUCCUGGGUUUAACAGGACCAUAUCCCAGCUGUGUGACUAGAAACAGAUCUCUCUUCCUCUUUCUCCUUCUCAACCUGUCUCCUCGUCUGGAACAUUAAUCUCUGAGAACUACUACAGGGAAGACUCGUGCGUGUCUUUCACUAGGUGAGUAACCAAAAAUACAGCAGGAGGCUGGGUAGAACAGGGAAGAACACAUUAUCCAAAACUGUGGUGCCGAUUAAAAAUAAAGAAACAUCAUGAUGUGGUUAGAUUCUGGUGCAAGAUUAAACAGUGCAAAGGUUGGCAAAGCAAGAUGCCUGUUGUGCCCAGUGAGUGCCCAGAGCGAUGGCCCUCUGUAGAAGGUGGGUAAGUUGCCACUGUAAGUUCCAGGUCAGAGACUGGCCUGGUUCUUUUAUGGCUCCGGCUCCAGCAGCUUGGCACUGAGCAGGUGCCAUGGGGGUAGAGAGAUAAGAGUUUAUAUGAGAGAGUGAUCAGCAAACAGAGGCUCAGGGAAUGUGAGGACUCAAGGCCCAGGGCAGGCACUGAGCAAGCCUGGGCCUCACAUGCACCCUCAUAAAGAGGACAAGUGCUUAAGGGUCCCCCAGCACCCAAGCACUGUAGUCCCUGGAAUAGGGAAAAGCAGAGGUCUACCAAGAUUUAUGCCAGGCAGCUGUUAGUGCAGCGGUCAAGCAGAACCUGCCGGGAACUACCCCUUUCCCUGCUCCCUGUGCCCUCACCCCUGCUCCCUGUGCCCUCACCCCUGCUCCCCAGUUCUAAAGAUACUCAGACCAAUAUCAUCUGAACCCACCCUGACAACUAGAGACAUCAAAGCCCAGAGAGCAGGGGCAAUGGGAAAUAAAAACCCAGAAGCUGGGUAUGGUGGAGUAUGUCUGUAAUCCUAGCACUUUUGAGGCAGAGGCAGGAGGUUCAAGAGGAAUUAACUGUCAUCUUUACUUACCUAGGGAGUUUGAAGCUAGCCUGGGCUACACAAAACAAAGAAAAAAAGACCCAGUUCUCCUGACUCCUACUCUGAAACUGCCACCACCCUGAUUUCUACUUGUGGGGACCUUGACAACUUGACAAGUUAUUACUUUAAUAACCAGACACACACAGUGCCUGCCACUCUGUUUUGUUUUUGUGGGGCAGGGUCUAACUCUGUAGCCCAUGACCACCAGGCUGGUUUAUAACUUGAGACAGUCCUGCCUCAGCCUCAGGAGUGAUAGGGUUACAGAGAUGAAUCACACACAGUUCUGACUUGAGUAGGUGCCCACCCUACUCACCAUCUAGCCAGACAGGUGAUAAAUUAUCCCCUGCGGGCCCCUUUUCCCCACCUUCCUCCUGCAGUAACCAACCCUGUCUGUCACUAAGGGUGGAGUAAAGGCUGAUGAGUUGUCGAGGGACCAGGUUCUACGUUAGACAGUGGCUUCUGUGAUGUCAUUUGGAACUGGAACGGAGAGGUAGUUCCACACCUGGACCCUCAAGUUAGAACACUUUCAGGCCUCCCAAGUGGGCUUGGCCUUGAGAGGGCCACAUCCUGUUAGUGACAACAGGGGCUUUAUCCAAGCCCCACAAGGUCCGGAUCUAAGUGUUUACUCAGGGUGAGUCUCCUGGCUCUGCUGGGCCUCACUUGAGCAAACAGCCACAGCCACCAAGCCAGUCACUCAAGGUCACCCACAUCCUCAUUCAUGAUGACACUGGCGUGGUCAUAUAUGUGUCAUAUGUGCGUCACUGAACUCUCCAGGUAACACACAUCAUCUCAUACAGCGUCAGAGUGAAGCUGCCACAUGAAAAACGCAGGAUUUCAGACACAUAACCAAACUGGGUGUGAUAGCACAUGUCUUUAAUCUCAGCACCGCAGAGGCAAAGGCAGGAAGAUCUCUGUGUGAAUUUGAAGCCAGCCCGUCUCCAUAGUAAGUUCUAGGCCAACCAGAGUUGUGUAGUAAGACCCUAUCUCAAAAAAUAAAAAAAACCACACACACCAAAUUAAUUUUUACAACAAAUGCUCGCAAAUAUUUGCUAAAUCUGAAACUACAUCUAAGGAACUGCUGCAUCCACAUUGCCCAACCUUGCACUGCCCCAGACUUGCACAGACUUUGGGCACCUAUGUCAGUUCAAAAUACACACUGCAUCCAAGUAACAAAGGCGUACAUGGCUGUGCACACCCUGCACACGUGAAGGCACCAGGCCAGGUUAGGUCUUUAGACUCACCUUGUCUCAACUCCACAACAGCCACAGCUGAUGGUUAGGCCGGAACCUUCAGCCCCUGACAGAAGGAAGUCAAGUCCAACAAGAACCAGAAUCUACAAGAGGUGCCUCAACUUGAGGUCCCCUGCGUAUAGAAAGUCAGGAUAGGAUCACACUCAUAAUUUCCCCCUGCCCAUUCCCCAGAGGCAUCCAUGGUGAUGACUGUCCUGCUCAGGGCCCUCAGGGUCCAUCCAGUUUUGAGAUUAAAGAAGAAAAAAAGGAAGGAGUUGUGUGGGCUGUGAGAAAGGGGCGACUACUGCCAGAGCCCCAAGAGUUACUGCCCACCUGGCAAAAGAAGGACUCAACAGUCUACUCCCAGACACCCCUCACCACCUAGCCUGAGCACAGAGCCCAAGGGAGGGCAUGGAGUCAGCAGAUGGACUGGUGCCUCUCAGAGGAAAUUCAAGGGCUUCUAGAAGACUAACUCCAUCGACCCAGCUGUCAAUCAAACUGAGUUCCUGCAGGCACCAGGAUCUUGUUGGCAGGGCUCCAGCACAGAGGGAUUUCCCAAAGACUGAGGCAGAGAGCAGAAGGACUUUCAGGGCUGUCCACUGUCAAGUCCUUCAUCGAGGAGAUAGCCUCGUGAGAAGCUGGGGAUGCCCUGAGCAGCAGAAGCUUAAAGCCUGGCAGGG